This 260-nucleotide ribosomal RNA is filed under the name uncultured bacterium. Its description in RNAcentral is "partial 16S ribosomal RNA". It matches the Rfam family "Bacterial small subunit ribosomal RNA", at positions 255 to 507 of the family's 1533-position model. The record is from RNAcentral.
AGGUAAUGGCUCACCAAGGCGACGAUCCGUAACUGGUCUGAGAGGAUGAUCAGUCACACUGGAACUGAGACACGGUCCAGACUCCUACGGGAGGCAGCAGUGGGGAAUAUUGGACAAUGGGCGAAAGCCUGAUCCAGCCAUGCCGCGUGUGUGAAGAAGGUCUUCGGAUUGUAAAGCACUUUAAGUUGGGAGGAAGGGUAGUAACCUAAUACGUUGCUACUUUGACGUUACCGACAGAAUAAGCACCGGCUAACUUCGUG